GAUGAGCGCUGGCGGCGUGCCUAAUACAUGCAAGUCGAGCGAACAGAUGAGGAGCUUGCUCCUCUGACGUUAGCGGCGGACGGGUGAGUAACACGUGGAUAACCUACCUAUAAGACUGGGAUAACUUCGGGAAACCGGAGCUAAUACCGGAUAAUAUAUUGAACCGCAUGGUUCAAUAGUGAAAGACGGUUUUGCUGUCACUUAUAGAUGGAUCCGCGCCGCAUUAGCUAGUUGGUAAGGUAACGGCUUACCAAGGCGACGAUGCGUAGCCGACCUGAGAGGGUGAUCGGCCACACUGGAACUGAGACACGGUCCAGACUCCUACGGGAGGCAGCAGUAGGGAAUCUUCCGCAAUGGGCGAAAGCCUGACGGAGCAACGCCGCGUGAGUGAUGAAGGUCUUCGGAUCGUAAAACUCUGUUAUUAGGGAAGAACAAAUGUGUAAGUAACUAUGCACGUCUUGACGGUACCUAAUCAGAAAGCCACGGCUAACUACGUG
RNAcentral lists this ribosomal RNA (497 nucleotides) under uncultured bacterium. RNAcentral's name for it is "partial 16S ribosomal RNA". It matches the Rfam family "Bacterial small subunit ribosomal RNA", at positions 28 to 507 of the family's 1533-position model. The record is from RNAcentral.